Molecule: long non-coding RNA, 1811 nt
Filed under: Sorghum bicolor (sorghum)
Lineage: Eukaryota; Viridiplantae; Streptophyta; Magnoliopsida; Poales; Poaceae
Description: long non-coding RNA (SBIC_LNC015808)
Source: RNAcentral
UGAGCCCCUAAAGCUUAUGCGCUGGUUGGUUCGUGUUCUACCCGCUUGUAGUGGCCGGUGCCCGCGCCGAUAGACUCGCCGUCCGCCAUGGACGCAGGCAAGGGGGUUAGAGAAGGAUAGCGCUUGAUCUGAGGGUCCCAGAGUAUGCGCAAGGGGCCGUAGACGCUAAACCACCCCGCCACAGGAGCCGGAGGCUCACCGAUGGCGUGCCGGAGGUCGGCCGAGCCGGUGGCGGGAAGUAGGAGGAGGAUCUGACGGGCGGGACCCGCCCGUCAGCGACCGCCUGAGGGGGGGAAACGCGCGCAGUGCCCGCGUGGGCCGGGCGGGAGCGGGCCGGCCUGCUGGCCGGAUUCCUGGGCCGCUCGCGGCAUAGUUUUGUUUUUUUUCUUUUUCUUUUUCUACAGUUUUUUAUUUAUGUUUGAUGUUGUGUAAUAAAUUAUGUGCUGCUCCAAAAAUGAUGAAAUUUUUUUGUAUAGGUUCCAUGAAAUAAGUAGAACACAAGAAAAAUAGUAGGUUUCCUUUUCUGGUAGUUUGCAAGUGUAUAAAAAUUGCCUCUUUUAUUUAAUGAAUAAAACUUCUAUGAAUUUUAAUAAUUUAGUGAUAUGUCCAAAAAUCACCAAAAUUUGUGGGAUGCCUCUGAAUAUUAUUCCCUGGCUCCACACAAAAUUUGGUGGCAUUUGGAUAAAGUUUGAAUAAAAUAUCAUUAAACCCUUAAUUAAUAAUUAAAUAAUAAUGCUAAAAUAAUUAGAUAAUAAUUAGUUAAAUCCUCAUAAUUAGGGUUUGAGUGAUUUUAGGAUUGUGUGAUGACCUGAGAUCAUUAACCCUAAUGACCUUUGGCAUUUAAUUAUUGUUUGGUCUUAAUACUUAAUUGCUAUCAUUAAUAUUUAAUUAAGAAAUAAUUAAGGUAAAUAGGAUUAACAAUUAGUUAAUUUAGGAUAAUUAUGAAUUAAGAGAAGUCUUAAUUUACAGAUGCAACCUCUCGGGUAAAGACUCUGAGUUGGUAAAUAACUUUAUUUAUUGUUUAGUCUAUGUUGCACCUAGAAGGCAAGUUGUACUCGACUUGGUCCUUCUUGUAUAUUUGUCAUACGCAUAUCAUGAGCAUUCAUCAUUUUGCGUAUAGUGUCCGUGACCGAAGGAGCGACCGUUGAGCCGAACCCCGAGGUCGGUGCUCCGUUCGAGGAAGUAGGAUCCGAGACUUGGGAAGUCUCCGAGGGUCCCUCUCUGCCCUGCAACCAAGGCAAGCCCCGGAUGCAUUAACCCCUCCUUGAAUGUUUUAAAUCCUUUAUCACUUAUGAAUUGAAAAUGCUGCAUUAGGUAGUUGAGAAUUGGGUUAACCUACUUGCUGCAUUUACUACCUUGAUAUUUGUUAUCUUGUCCUUGGCACCUGUUUUGUUUAAAACUGCGUAGUGAUGCUUAGCCCUGCUUAUUAGAUAGGUUUUCAACUAAGAAAGUUUGAAGGGUUGUUGUGGGAUACACUUAUGGUUAAUGAUGUUUCAACUUGAGACCGGUCGGUGGACUUGCUUUAAGAAUGGAGUUUUAAAGUAGUGUCUCCAACUGUGUCGGUUAAGGACCGGUCCGUUGAUGGCCUGCUGGAUUGAGAAUUUAUAGUACUAGCCACUUGCCCUCGGUAAGCCCGAUCUUGUAAUCCCUCGACGCGAACAGCUACUCGUGCACUGGGCGUGGAGCGAUGGCGAGAGUAGCGUGUACCCACCUUACGGAUCUGAGGUGACCGGGAAACAUCUAUAUCGGCUGUAGGAUGGUGGAGUACUAUGCUCUCGGGUGCCGCGAACCAGGUCAAAUUUGGGGAGAGC